AAGCAUCUAAGCACGAAACUUGCCCCGAGAUGAGUUCUCCCUGACCCUUUAAGGGUCCUGAAGGAACGUUGAAGACGACGACGUUGAUAGGCCGGGUGUGUAAGCGCAGCGAUGCGUUGAGCUAACCGGUACUAAUGAACCGUGAGGCUUAACCUUACAACGCCAAAG
Molecule: ribosomal RNA, 168 nt
Filed under: Mangrovibacter sp. MFB070
Lineage: Bacteria; Pseudomonadati; Pseudomonadota; Gammaproteobacteria; Enterobacterales; Enterobacteriaceae
Description: partial 23S ribosomal RNA
Rfam family: Bacterial large subunit ribosomal RNA
Source: RNAcentral